Molecule: long non-coding RNA, 922 nt
Filed under: Homo sapiens (human)
Lineage: Eukaryota; Metazoa; Chordata; Mammalia; Primates; Hominidae
Description: HSALNT0071746
Source: RNAcentral
CCAAGGAUUGCCAGAGAACAGAAAAAGCUGGAAGAAUCAAGGAAGGAUUCUCCCCUGGAGCCAUCAGAGAGAGCAUGCCCUGAUAUCACCUUGAUUCUUCACUUCUACCUUUCAGAAUUGAGGAAGCCAGCUGCCAUGCUUUGAGCUGCUCUAUGGAAAGGCACAUUUGGCAAGGAACUGAUGCCUCCAGUCAACAGCCAGCCAGGACUUGAGACCAGGUAAAGCCUGGAAGCUGCACGUCCAAUCCAAUUCCUAGAUGCUUUCUCCAGUUAUGGCCCUGACUGGGAUCUCCGAAGAAUGACUCAGCUGAAACUGUUUCAUCAUUGCCUACAUUUGUCUUCAGACGACCUGCAGUACAAACUUGGCUUAAACCUGCAGUUGACAAUGGAUUCACCGUGGGAGAAUAAAUUACAAUGGAUAAAAAACAGCAUUACAAUCCCUCAAUAAAAUGGGAUUUUAACAGACAAAGGUCUCUCUCUCUUCUAACAUCAAUGCAGCUCCUGGUAUGUGGUCGUUCUCAGGCCCAAAGGCCCAUUUUGCUUUUGGCUGCAACUCUGUAACUCUGUAACAGAGACCAAGUGCCUGCAGGGAGCAGAUGUUUGGGGCAGUAUCUGCUAAGGUGGCUUUGCUGAAACUUGUUUCUCUCAUUGGGUCUUGGAAGUGGCGAAUAGGACGUUCCUAUAGAAAAACUCAGAAAGGGACUGUGAAAGAUAAUCUUAAAGAGGCACUCACGAAACACAAGCUCCUUCUCCGGGAAAAAGAAUCAUCACCCUUGUUAUCCCAUGAAAAUUCAUCUUCUCCUUUUCAGCUGAUAUGAGGACUUGAUCUGUCCUUUCCUAUAAGUGCCAUCUGUGUUUAAAUGAGGCUGUUACUCUAACUCAAAGCAGACUUGCAAGAGUAAAAUAAUCAAUCUUCAUCAUAU